This 72-nucleotide transfer RNA is filed under the name Streptococcus pneumoniae. RNAcentral's name for it is "tRNA-Glu(ttc)". It matches the Rfam family "tRNA". Rfam says of the family: Transfer RNA (tRNA) molecules are approximately 80 nucleotides in length. Their secondary structure includes four short double-helical elements and three loops (D, anti-codon, and T loops). The record is from RNAcentral. Lineage: Bacteria; Bacillati; Bacillota; Bacilli; Lactobacillales; Streptococcaceae.
GGUCCGUUGGCCAAGGGGUUAAGACACCGCCUUUUCACGGCGGUAACACGGGUUCGAAUCCCGUACGGACUA